UUCUAGCCUAAGCUGGUAUGUGUACAUAAAGUGGGCCCAUUACAGGUUUGGGCUUCGAGAAUUUAGUUUGUCUCUCGAUCGGCCCACAUUAGCUGCUGCGUAAGUCACACUGUUGUAUCAAAGAAGUUCUAAACCGCCGGAGUCCGACAACGCCAUCCGAUGGCGACAUCGACGACGGCAACGGAAGCAAUGAGGACGAAACCAAUAGCAGUUUUUAUGGCUUUUGGAACUAAAGGCGAUGUUUACCCCAUAGCUGCAAUAGCUGCAGCUUUUGCUUCCGAUCAGCGGCAGUAUGAAGUUGCAUUUGUAACUCAUUCCGCACACGAGAACCUAAAAGGUCAUUUAGGUGCAAAAGGAGUUGCAUACUAUCCAGUUUGUUCGCCACCCGUUUUGUCUUCUCAGCAACACGAUGAUACUGGAGGGUCGUCAUUUUCUCUGCAGAAGAAAGAAAUCACAAGAAAACAUAGACAAGAGUGUCUUUCAAUUGUUGAAGCAAUAUAUGGAGGGGGCCCAAUCUUGGAUGGUGAUCUUAUCAUCAUAAAUUUCUUUGCACUGGAAGGUUGGAUUCUUGCGGAACUUUUUCAUGUUAAUUGUGUUGUUGCUGCUCCUUAUCUCGUUCCAUACAGCGCACCCUCUUCAUUUGAACGCCAAUUUAGGAAUGAACUUCCUCUUCUAUACAAAUAUCUUCGAGAAGCUCCAACUGGUAAGAUUGGGUGGGAAGAUGUUAUCCAUUGGAUGUGGCCACUUUUCACUGAUGACUGGGGAACGUGGAGAAGCUAUGAUCUAGAGUUGAGCUUCUGGCCCUUUACGGAUCCAGUAACUGGUCUUCCAACAUGGCACGAGAGGCCUUCAGCUCCACUCCUACUGUACGGCUUUAGCCAAGAAGUUGUUGAGUGCCCUGGUUACUGGCCAUCAGCAGUUCGUGUUUGUGGUUUUUGGUCUUUCCCUUCUGAAUGGCAAUUCUCUUGCACUGGAUGUGCAGAAAUAUCAUCUUUGAUUUGUUCGGGGAAAUUGAAUGCUGAAGAUGAGCUAUGUUUGGUUCAUGCCAAGUUAAAAGAAUUUCUGGGUUCUUCAGAAGAGCAACCUAUUUUCAUAAGUCUGAGUUCUGUUGGAAGCAUGGGUUACUUGAAGAAUCCCCAGUCUUUCCUUCGGGUCCUUGGGAAUGUUUUGAGUAUCACAAGUCACAGAUUUAUUCUUCUGACAGCUGGAUAUGGACCUUUAGAUGCUGCUAUCAAGAUGUUUGCACAGACACCAUCAUCAACUUCCGAACAAACGCAACCUGGUGAAGUUCAGAGUUGGCUAUUUGAUGGCCGACUUUUUUGCUUUUCCGGUGCUAUACCAUACAACUGGCUAUUCCCAAGAUGUGCGGCUGCUAUCCAUCAUGGGGGAAGUGGAUCUACUGCCGCUGCUCUGCACGCAGGAAUUCCUCAGGUUAUCUGCCCGUUUAUUCUGGAUCAAUUUUAUUGGGCAGAGAGGAUGUUUUGGCUAGGUGUUGCCUCAGAGCCCCUAAAAAGUUCUUCCUUACUCCCAGAUAAAGGUGAUGAGAGUUGUAUAUUAGAAGCUGCAAAUAUGCUCGUGGGAGCAAUUAAUUAUGCAUUGUCUCCCGAAGUCAAAUUGCAUGCAAAACAAAUUGCUAAGAGAAUAUCCACCGAGGACGGGGUUUCAACAGCUUUGCGGAUAAUUAAAGAAGAAAUUCUCCAUAUAGAUGCUACUAACUGAUGCAACCUAUUCUUUUACAGCUCAGUUUCUUCAGGUUGGCCUAUCGACAUGGAAGACUUUCUUAUCGAUAAAAGAAGUGAUAUCUUCAAACGAAAUUUGCUAGUUGCCCUUGUGACUAACGUUUCUUGAAGAGUCCACUGAACUAUUUCUCCAAAAUGAGCUGUCUUGUUUUCAACUAAGGUAGCAUUUGACUAGGAAAACGAAGCCAGAAUCUGUUACCUGUUUCUCUUCCAUUAAUUUUGUAUUAGGUGUGUAGUAAUUCCAAAUGGAGGACUAGAAAAUGAAGAGGACCGCAGUUUUUUGCAGUAUUUUUGACGACUUUCGACCAUUUUACUUUGUGUGAAAUGGAGUCUUUUAAGUCAUCGACUUAUGUUGGUUGUUGACACAGUUGGUAUGCUGGUGGAGCCACUGCCAACUAACACCAUUAACAUGACUUGUUCUUCAGUGGACA
RNA transcript from Sesamum indicum (sesame), 2170 nucleotides. It is a transcript of the gene named UDP-Glycosyltransferase superfamily protein, with no coding region annotated. NCBI's taxonomy places the organism in Eukaryota, Viridiplantae, Streptophyta, Magnoliopsida, Lamiales, Pedaliaceae. The record is from RefSeq and is a predicted model, not a curated record.